GAUGAACGCUGGCGGCGUGCCUAAUACAUGCAAGUCGAGCGAACAGACGAGGAGCUUGCUCCUCUGACGUUAGCGGCGGACGGGUGAGUAACACGUGGAUAACCUACCUAUAAGACUGGGAUAACUUCGGGAAACCGGAGCUAAUACCGGAUAAUAUAUUGAACCGCAUGGUUCAAUAGUGAAAGACGGUUUUGCUGUCACUUAUAGAUGGAUCCGCGCCGCAUUAGCUAGUUGGUAAGGUAACGGCUUACCAAGGCAACGAUGCGUAGCCGACCUGAGAGGGUGAUCGGCCACACUGGAACUAAGACACGGUCCAGACUCCUACGGGAGGCAGCAGUAGGGAAUCUUCCGCAAUGGGCGAAAGCCUGACGGAGCAACGCCGCGUGAGUGAUGAGGGUCUUCGGAUCGUAAAACUCUGUUAUUAGGGAAGAACAAAUGUGUAAGUAACUAUGCACGUCUUGACGGUACCUAAUCAGAAAGCCACGGCUAACUACGUG
Molecule: ribosomal RNA, 497 nt
Filed under: uncultured bacterium
Lineage: Bacteria
Description: partial 16S ribosomal RNA
Rfam family: Bacterial small subunit ribosomal RNA
Source: RNAcentral